GGAAGUAAAAGUCGUAACAAGGUCUCCGUUGGUGAACCAGCGGAGGGAUCAUUACCGAGUUGCAAAACUCCCAAACCCACUGUGAACCUCUACCACUGUUGCUUCGGCGGAACCGCCCCGGGCGCACCUCCUCACGGGGGCGUGCCCCGGAACCAGGCGCCCGCCGGGGGACCGAAACCUCUGUAUUUUUUACUUGAGUACUCUGAGUGUGAUUUACAAAAUCAAAAUUAAAACUUUCAACAACGGAUCUCUUGGCUCUAGCAUCGAUGAAGAACGCAGCGAAAUGCGAUAAGUAAUGCGAAUUGCAGAAUUCAGUGAAUCAUCGAAUCUUUGAACGCACAUUGCGCCCGCCAGUAUUCUGGCGGGCAUGCCUGUCUGAGCGUCGUUUCGACCCUCGCGCCCGGCUUCUGUCGGGGGCGGUGUUGGGGAUCGGCCACACCCUCCAGAGGGAGGCCGGCCCCUAAAUCCAGUGGCGACCACGCUGUAGCCUCCCCUGCGUAGUACUAAAACCACCUCGCAGGCGGAGAGCGGUGCGGCCCGCCGUAAAACCCCCCGACUUUUACAAGGUCGACCUCAGAUCAGGUAGGAAUACCCGCUGAACUUAAGCAUAUCAAUAAGCGGAGGA
This 625-nucleotide ribosomal RNA is filed under the name Acremonium polychromum. RNAcentral describes it as "eukaryotic LSU rRNA". The stretch from base 232 to 385 matches the Rfam family "5.8S ribosomal RNA". The record is from RNAcentral. Lineage: Eukaryota; Fungi; Ascomycota; Sordariomycetes; Hypocreales; Bionectriaceae.